AGCAGCCGCGGUAAUUCCAGCUCCAAUAGCGUAUAUUAAAGUUGUUGCAGUUAAAAAGCUCGUAGUUGAAUUUCGGGAUUGGCGCAUCGGUCGUGCCUCACGGGGUAUGAACUGGUGCAGUCAAUUUCUCACCUUCUGGAGAACCGCGAUGUCCUUAAUUGGAUGCCGCGGGGAACCAGGACCUUUACUUUGAAAAAUUAGAGUGUUUAAAGCAGGCAUUUUUGCUUGAAUACAUUAGCAUGGAAUAAUAAAAUAGGACGGCAUGGUUCUAUUUUGUUGGUUUCUAGGACCACCGUAAUGAUUAAUAGGGAUAGUUGGGGGCAUUAGUAUUCAAUUGUCAGAGGUGAAAUUCUUGGAUUUAUUGAAGACUAACUACUGCGAAAGCAUUUGCCAAGGAUGUUUUCAUUAAUCAAGAACGAAAGUUAGGGGAUCGAAGACGAUCAGAUACCGUCGUAGUCUUAACCAUAAACUAUGCCGACUAGGAAUCAGACGAUGUUAAUUUUUAAUGACUCGUUU
RNAcentral lists this ribosomal RNA (516 nucleotides) under uncultured Entrophospora. Its description in RNAcentral is "SSU rRNA". It matches the Rfam family "Eukaryotic small subunit ribosomal RNA", at positions 569 to 1081 of the family's 1831-position model. Lineage: Eukaryota; Fungi; Glomeromycota; Glomeromycetes; Entrophosporales; Entrophosporaceae. The record is from RNAcentral.